UACCAUGCAGUCGACGCAUCCUUCGGGGUGAGUGGCAGACGGGUGAGUAACGCGUGGGAAUCUACCCAUCCCUACGGGAUAGCUCCGGGAAACUGGAGAUAAUACCGUAUACGUCCUCCGGGAGAAAGAUUUAUCGGGGAUGGAUGAGCCCGCGUUGGAUUAGCUAGUUGGUGGGGUAAUGGCCUACCAAGGCGACGAUCCAUAGCUGGUCUAAGAGGAUGAUCAGCCACAUUGGGACUGAGACACGGCCCAAACUCCUACGGGAGGCAGCAGUGGGGAAUAUUGGACAAUGGGCGCAAGCCUGAUCCAGCCAUGCCGCGUGAGUGAUGAAGGCCCUAGGGUUGUAAAGCUCUUUCAGUGGGGACGAUAAUGACGGUACCCACAGAAGAAGCCCCGGCUAACUUCGUGCCAGCAGCCGCGGUAAUACGAAGGGGGCUAGCGUUGUUCGGAAUUACUGGGCGUAAAGCGCACGUAGGCGGACAUUUAAGUCAGGGGUGAAAUCCCGGGGCUCAACCCCGGAACUGCCUCUGAUACUGGGUGUCUUGAGUGUGGUAGAGGUGAGUGGAAUUGCGAGUGUAGAGGUGAAAUUCGUAGAUAUUCGCAGGAACACCAGUGGCGAAGGCGGGCUCACUGGACCACAACUGACGCUGGAGGUGCGAAAGCGUGGGGAGCAAACAGGAUUAGAUACCCUGGUAGUCCACGCCGUAAACGAUGGAAGCUAGCCGUCGGAGGAUUUAUCCUUCGGUGGCGCAGUUAACGCAUUAAGCUUCCCGCCUGGGGGAGUACGGGUCGCAAGAUUA
RNAcentral lists this ribosomal RNA (800 nucleotides) under Aurantimonas sp. RNAcentral's name for it is "bacterial SSU rRNA". It matches the Rfam family "Bacterial small subunit ribosomal RNA", at positions 52 to 896 of the family's 1533-position model. Lineage: Bacteria; Pseudomonadati; Pseudomonadota; Alphaproteobacteria; Hyphomicrobiales; Aurantimonadaceae. The record is from RNAcentral.